RNAcentral lists this ribosomal RNA (470 nucleotides) under Fusarium circinatum. Its description in RNAcentral is "eukaryotic LSU rRNA". The stretch from base 117 to 270 matches the Rfam family "5.8S ribosomal RNA". The record is from RNAcentral. Lineage: Eukaryota; Fungi; Ascomycota; Sordariomycetes; Hypocreales; Nectriaceae.
UACCAAUUGUUGCCUCGGCGGAUCAGCCCGCUCCCGGUAAAACGGGACGGCCCGCCAGAGGACCCCUAAACUCUGUUUCUAUAUGUAACUUCUGAGUAAAACCAUAAAUAAAUCAAAACUUUCAACAACGGAUCUCUUGGUUCUGGCAUCGAUGAAGAACGCAGCAAAAUGCGAUAAGUAAUGUGAAUUGCAGAAUUCAGUGAAUCAUCGAAUCUUUGAACGCACAUUGCGCCCGCCAGUAUUCUGGCGGGCAUGCCUGUUCGAGCGUCAUUUCAACCCUCAAGCCCAGCUUGGUGUUGGGACUCGCGAGUUAAAUCGCGUUCCCCAAAUUGAUUGGCGGUCACGUCGAGCUUCCAUAGCGUAGUAGUAAAACCCUCGUUACUGGUAAUCGUCGCGGCCACGCCGUUAAACCCCAACUUCUGAAUGUUGACCUCGGAUCAGGUAGGAAUACCCGCUGAACUUAAGCAUAU